RNAcentral lists this ribosomal RNA (325 nucleotides) under uncultured eukaryote. RNAcentral describes it as "partial 18S ribosomal RNA". It matches the Rfam family "Eukaryotic small subunit ribosomal RNA", at positions 1470 to 1796 of the family's 1831-position model. The record is from RNAcentral.
CCCCUAGAUGUUCUGGGCCGCACGCGCGCUACACUGAACAGUUCAACAAGUCUUAACCUUGGCCGAUAGGUCUGGGUAAUCUUUGAACGCUGUUCGUGAUUGGGAUAGACCUUUGCAAUUAUGGGUCUUCAACGAGGAAUUCCUAGUAAACGCAAGUCAUCAGCUUGCAUUGAUUACGUCCCUGCCCUUUGUACACACCGCCCGUCGCUCCAACCGAUUGAGUAAUCCGGUGAAUAGUUCGGACCGUCUUUUCUUGUGGUUCGCCACUCGUUAAGAUGGAAAGUUCAGUGAACCUUAUUGCUUAGAGGAUGGAGAAGUCGUAACA